GGAAGGAUCAUUAUCGUACAACAGAGGCACGAGGGCUGUCGCUGACCUGUCAGGGUCGUGCACGCCCAAAGUGUACUCGCCCAUCCAUCUCACCCCUUUUGUGCAUCAUCGCGUGGGCCCCCCCUCCUCUCUAGGCUAGUCUCGGAGAAAGGGUGGUUCACGUUUUUCACACAAACACAUACAUGUAUUAGAAUGGCUUUUGCGAUGACUCGCAAUAAAAUACAACUUUCAACAACGGAUCUCUUGGCUCUCGCAUCGAUGAAGAACGCAGCGAAAUGCGAUACGUAAUGUGAAUUGCAGAAUUCAGUGAAUCAUCGAAUCUUUGAACGCACCUUGCGCCCCUUGGCAUUCCGAGGGGCACGCCCGUUUGAGUGUCGUGACAUUCUCAAAGCCCUUUCUUUGAAUGGACUUUGGACUUUGGAGGUUUUUAUUUGCUGGCCUCACUUCACUUUUGAGGUCAGCUCCUCUCAAAUGCAUUAGUGGGGAACAGCUUUGCGGGAAACCCUCGACGUGAUAGGAUGCUUCUGCUGCGUCUUGGGCCUUUUCGCUUUACACCCACUUCUAAACCGUCAGCUUUCCUCAUUCAUUUUGGGGAGGGCUUUUGACCUCACGAAAACCUUGACCUCAAAUCGGGUGAGACUACCCGCUGAACUUAAGCAUAUCAAUAAGCGGAGGAAAAGAAACUAACAAGGAUUCCCCUAGUAACUGCGAGUGAAGCGGGAAAAGCUCAAAUUUAAAAUCUGGUGGUCUUUGGCCAUCCGAGUUGUAAUCUAGAGAAGCGUCUUCCGCGCUGGACCGUGCACAAGUCUCCUGGAAUGGAGCGUCAUAGAGGGUGAGAAUCCCGUCUUUGGCACGGACGCACCAGGGCUAUGUGAUGCGCUCUCGAAGAGUCGAGUUGUUUGGGAAUGCAGCUCAAAAUGGGUGGUGAACUCCAUCUAAAGCUAAAUAUUGGCGAGAGACCGAUAGCGAACAAGUACCGUGAGGGAAAGAUGAAAAGCACUUUGGAAAGAGAGUGAAACAGUACGUGAAAUUGUUGAAAGGGAAACGCUUGAAGUCAGUCGCGUCGACCGAGACUCAGCCUCGCCACGGCUUGGCGUAUUUCUCGGCCGACGGGUCAGCAUCAAUUUUGCCCCUCGGAUAAUGGCAAGGGAAAGGUGGCACCUUCACGGGUGUGUUAUAGUCCCCUGUCGCAUGCGAGGGUCGGGAUUGAGGAACGCAGCACGCGCCCUUUUGGGUGUCGGGGCCUUUUGGCUCACGCGACGUGCUUAGGAUGCUGGCGUAAUGGCUUUAAACGACCCGUCUUGAAACACGGACCAAGGAGUCCAACAUGCCCGCGAGUGUUUGGGUGGAAAACUCAUGCGCGAAAUGAAAGUGAAAGUUGGGACCUCUGUCGUGGAGGGCACCGACGCCCGGACCAGACCUUCUGUGACGGAUCUGCGGUAGAGCGUGCAUGUUGGGACCCGAAAGAUGGUGAACUAUGCCUGAAUAGGGUGAAGCCAGAGGAAACUCUGGUGGAGGCUCGUAGCGAUUCUGACGUGCAAAUCGAUCGUCAAAUUUGGGUAUAGGGGCGAAAGACUAAUCGAACCAUCUAGUAGCUGGUUCCUGC
RNAcentral lists this unclassified non-coding RNA (1606 nucleotides) under uncultured fungus. RNAcentral's name for it is "sequence contains 18S rRNA gene, ITS1, 5.8S rRNA gene, ITS2, 28S rRNA gene". The stretch from base 620 to 1606 matches the Rfam family "Eukaryotic large subunit ribosomal RNA", at positions 1 to 961 of the family's 3401-position model. The record is from RNAcentral. Lineage: Eukaryota; Fungi.